This 413-nucleotide ribosomal RNA is filed under the name uncultured prokaryote. RNAcentral's name for it is "bacterial SSU rRNA". It matches the Rfam family "Bacterial small subunit ribosomal RNA", at positions 505 to 918 of the family's 1533-position model. The record is from RNAcentral.
GUGUCAGCAGCCGCGGUAAUACGGAGGGUGCAAACGUUAAUCGGAAUCACUGGGCGUAAAGCGCGUGUAGGCGGCUCGUUAAGUGGGAUGUGAAAGCCCUGGGCUCAACCCGGGAAUUGCAUUCCAGACUGGCGAGCUAGAGUGCAGUAGAGGGAGGUGGAAUGACCGGUGUAGCGGUGAAAUGCGUAGAUAUCGGUCAGAACACCAGUGGCGAAGGCGGCCUCCUGGACUGACACUGACGCUGAGACGCGAAAGCGUGGGGAGCAAACAGGAUUAGAUACCCUGGUAGUCCACGCCGUAAACGCUGAGAACUAGCCGUUGGGGCCUUCGGGCUUUAGUGGCGCAGCUAACGCGAUAAGUUCUCCGCCUGGGGAGUACGGCCGCAAGGUUAAAACUUAAAUGAAUUGACGGGG